AGAGCGAACGCUGGCGGCAGGCCUAACACAUGCAAGUCGAGCGCCCGUAGCAAUACGGGAGCGGCAGACGGGAUAGUAACACGUGGGAACGCGCCCUUCGGUUCGGAAUAACUCAGGGAAACUUGAGCUAAUACCGGAUACGCCCUUACGGGGAAAGAUUUAUUGCCGAAGGAACGGCCCGCGUCCGAUUAGCUAGUUGGUGAGGUAAUGGCUCACCAAGGCGACGAUCGGUAGCUGGUCUGAGAGGAUGACCAGCAUCACUGGGACUGAGACACGGCCCAGACUCCUACGGGAGGCAGCAGUGGGGAAUAUUGGACAAUGGGCGCAAGCCUGAUCCAGCCAUGCCGCGUGGAUGAUGAAGGCCUUAGGGUUGUAAAGUCCUUUUAACGGGAGAUAAUGACGGUACCCGUAGAAUAAGCCCCGGCUAACUUCGUGCCAGCAGCCGC
Molecule: ribosomal RNA, 446 nt
Filed under: uncultured bacterium
Lineage: Bacteria
Description: SSU rRNA
Rfam family: Bacterial small subunit ribosomal RNA
Source: RNAcentral